CAGAGACCUCAAGCGUUAUCCGGAAUCAUUGGGCGUAAAGCGUUCGAUAGGUGGUUUUGAUAGUUUUGGGUAAAAGCCAGAAGCUCAACUUCUGCGUUUGCUCAAAAUACUUCAAGACUAGAGGGACAAAGAGGUGGCUGGAACGAAUGGUGUAGUAGUGAAAUGCGUUGAUAUCAUUCGGAACACCGAAAGCGAAGGCAGGCCACUGGGUGUCACCUGACACUGCUAGGACGAAAGCGUGGGGAGCGAAUGGGAUUAGAUACCCCAGUAGUCCACGCUGUAAACGAUGAAUACUAGGUAUUUGCGAGUAUCGACCCUCGUAUGUACCGUAGCUAACGCGUUAAAUAUUCCGCCUGGGGAGUACGGUCGCAAGACUA
Molecule: ribosomal RNA, 377 nt
Filed under: uncultured organism
Description: bacterial SSU rRNA
Rfam family: Bacterial small subunit ribosomal RNA
Source: RNAcentral